AGCAGCCGCGGUAAUUCCAGCUCCAAUAGCGUAUAUUAAAGUUGUUGCAGUUAAAAAGCUCGUAGUUGAAUUUCGGGAUCAGCAGGUCGGUCGUGCCAAUGGUAUGCACUGGCCUUGCUGAUUCCUCCCUCUUGAUGAGCCGUAAUGCCAUUAAUUUGGUGUUGCGGGGAAUCAGGACUGUUACUUUGAAAAAAUUAGAGUGUUUAAAGCAGGCAAGCGCUUGAAUACAUUAGCAUGGAAUAAUGAAAUAGGACGUUUGAUCCUAUUUUGUUGGUUUCUAGGAUUGACGUAAUGAUUAAUAGGGAUAGUUGGGGGCAUUAGUAUUCAAUUGUCAGAGGUGAAAUUCUUGGAUUUAUUGAAGACUAACUACUGCGAAAGCAUUUGCCAAGGAUGUUUUCAUUAAUCAAGAACGAAAGUUAGGGGAUCGAAGACGAUCAGAUACCGUCGUAGUCUUAACCAUAAACUAUGCCGACUAGGGAUCGGAUGAUGUUAAUUUUUAAUGACU
Molecule: ribosomal RNA, 505 nt
Filed under: uncultured Glomus
Lineage: Eukaryota; Fungi; Glomeromycota; Glomeromycetes; Glomerales; Glomeraceae
Description: SSU rRNA
Rfam family: Eukaryotic small subunit ribosomal RNA
Source: RNAcentral